RNAcentral lists this ribosomal RNA (688 nucleotides) under uncultured Vibrionaceae bacterium. RNAcentral describes it as "bacterial SSU rRNA". It matches the Rfam family "Bacterial small subunit ribosomal RNA", at positions 1 to 671 of the family's 1533-position model. Lineage: Bacteria; Pseudomonadati; Pseudomonadota; Gammaproteobacteria; Vibrionales; Vibrionaceae. The record is from RNAcentral.
GGCCGCGGGAUUAGAGUUUGAUCAUGGCUCAGAUUGAGCGCUGGCGGCAGGCCUAACACAUGCAAGUCGAGCGGUAACAGAUUGAUAGCUUGCUAUCAAUGCUGACGAGCGGCGGACGGGUGAGUAAUGCCUGGGAAUAUGCCCUGAUGUGGGGGAUAACUAUUGGAAACGAUAGCUAAUACCGCAUAAUCUCUUCGGAGCAAAGAGGGGGACCUUCGGGCCUCUCGCGUCAGGAUUAGCCCAGGUGGGAUUAGCUUGUUGGUGAGGUAAUGGCUCACCAAGGCAACGAUCCCUAGCUGGUCUGAGAGGAUGAUCAGCCACACUGGAACUGAGACACGGUCCAGACUCCUACGGGAGGCAGCAGUGGGGAAUAUUGCACAAUGGGGGAAACCCUGAUGCAGCCAUGCCGCGUGUAUGAAGAAGGCCUUCGGGUUGUAAAGUACUUUCAGUUGUGAGGAAGGCGUUGAAGUUAAUAGCUUCAACGUUUGACGUUAGCAACAGAAGAAGCACCGGCUAACUCCGUGCCAGCAGCCGCGGUAAUACGGAGGGUGCGAGCGUUAAUCGGAAUUACUGGGCGUAAAGCGCAUGCAGGUGGUCUGUUAAGCAAGAUGUGAAAGCCCGGGGCUCAACCUCGGAACAGCAUUUUGAACUGGCAGACUAGAGUACUGUAGAGGGGGGUAGAAUUUCA